GUGGGUGUAGCUCAGUGGUAGAGCGUGUGCUUAGCAUGCAGAGGGUCCUAGGUUCAAUCCCCAGUGCCUCCA
RNAcentral lists this transfer RNA (72 nucleotides) under Camelus dromedarius (Arabian camel). It matches the Rfam family "tRNA". Rfam says of the family: Transfer RNA (tRNA) molecules are approximately 80 nucleotides in length. The record is from Rfam by way of RNAcentral. RNAcentral also lists the same sequence under 1 other name. Lineage: Eukaryota; Metazoa; Chordata; Mammalia; Artiodactyla; Camelidae.